GAUACCAGAUAACCAGCUGCCUUUCUGAAUCUCCUCCCCAGGAAAACUGAGACAGAAGAUAAUGCUUGUUAUUCCUAUCUUUAUGGGUUGCAAGUUUGGCUUUUCUGUUACAUUU
This is a non-coding RNA of Punica granatum (pomegranate), 115 nucleotides long. The record is from Rfam. Lineage: Eukaryota; Viridiplantae; Streptophyta; Magnoliopsida; Myrtales; Lythraceae.